UACGGAGGGUGCAAGCGUUGUUCGGAAUUAUUGGGCGUAAAGGGCAAGUAGGUGGUCUAACAAGUUUACUGUGAAAGCCCCGGGCUCAACUCGGGAAGUGCACUCGAUACUGCUUAGCUCGAGUACCGGAGAGGUUGGUGGAAUUCUCGGUGUAGAGGUGAAAUUCGUAGAUAUCGAGAGGAACACCGGUGGCGAAGGCGGCCAACUGGACGAGUACUGACGCUGAGACACGAAAGCGUGGGGAGCAAACAGG
This 253-nucleotide ribosomal RNA is filed under the name uncultured bacterium. RNAcentral describes it as "partial 16S ribosomal RNA". It matches the Rfam family "Bacterial small subunit ribosomal RNA", at positions 524 to 776 of the family's 1533-position model. The record is from RNAcentral.